RNAcentral lists this unclassified non-coding RNA (747 nucleotides) under Hevea brasiliensis (rubber tree). Lineage: Eukaryota; Viridiplantae; Streptophyta; Magnoliopsida; Malpighiales; Euphorbiaceae. The record is from RNAcentral.
GCUGAUUAUAUAUCUCUCCCCAUCAAUGUCAGCUUAAUGGAGAGCAGCAGAUGAUAUUUGGUUUUCAAACUCAUUCAACUUUAAUUUGGUACAACGAAACAUAUUCACACAAGCAUCAACAGAACAUCUAUGCCAAACUUAAAUGUAAUAAUACUCAUAGAACUAAGCAGCAAUAGUGAUCAUUGUCUUCUGGCCAAAGCUUGAGUUCUUUCGAUAUCCCAACGGAGGAGGAUUACCUUGUGAGAUAGUACACGAUGAAGAAAAUCGCCACGAAAAGUGCUACUAGUGAGACCAUCUUCGGGCUCGACUUGGGAUCAAACACCGUCUUGAAUCGAUCCAUAGUGCCUGACAACACUCCUCUUGAUGAAUCCAUAUCAUUACCCAUCCUAUCCAGCAUGCGAUUAUGACUCUCCACCUCCUCAUUUAUGUCACCUGUCAACCUCUUCAACAGGAGAACUCUGUCUUGCAAGCCUUCCAAUGCUGCUUCAUUAUCAUGCUCCUCGAUUUCAUGGGAGGAGUAGGAAGAUGAGGCCCUAACACCACCCUCCUCAAUGCCAUCGAAGAGAGCAACCCUAUUGUUGCGCAGUUCCCUUCUCGCGUUCAUGACUUUCUCGGGACGAAACAGAAUCCACGCCCAGCCCUGUACGUUCUUGGAUUAGCAAUCAAAUAUUUCUCGAUCUGUUAUAGAAAACGCUUCCCGGAAGCAGUUGUCGGAGCAGCUGAAGCCUGAAAGUUUGAGAAUUGACG